This is a long non-coding RNA of Benincasa hispida (wax gourd), 706 nucleotides long. RefSeq lists it as uncharacterized. NCBI's taxonomy places the organism in Eukaryota, Viridiplantae, Streptophyta, Magnoliopsida, Cucurbitales, Cucurbitaceae. The record is from RefSeq and is a predicted model, not a curated record.
AACACUCUUCUUCUUCUUUCUCAAAUGGCAAAACUCCCCAAUUUUUUCUUCUUCUUUCCUCCCAAACCCACGAACUCCGUUUCCUUCGCUGCCGCAUCUCCCUCGCUAGCAUUCCGAACGAUAUGUGCCUCCCUCACUGCCAUUCAGAUCCGAACGCCAUGCUUCCUUCACUGUCUCAUCAGACCCACCGCCACACGAGAGAGAUUCCUCGUCAAUCGCAGACCUCACAGCUCAUCUGUGAAGCUGUUGUUCCCUCGCACCUCCCGGCUCAGAUUCGACCAUGCCGCUUCUUCACACUUCACCAGACCAGAAUUAUCGUCGGCUGUCUUCCUUGUCGCCGUCGGACCUGUUCUAGGUGAGUUUUAGCGAAACAUGGAAUUUAUAGGGAGCACCGUUAAGGGAAAUUGGAAGUCACCUUCAUCCUUUGGUGUUAGGGCCGCUACUUCUAGUUUUCGUUAUAGUUUGGUCGUCAGAGCUUCGUAUCCAUAAAGUUUCGAUUGAAGAAAAGGUAAAGAUGUACCGGCGAUGGCGCAGUGGAAUUCGUGAUCGUGUCACUGGGACUAGACCUUUUCGCUUCCGCAUCUUGAAAUAUGUUAUUUGGUUUUACUAUUUAAAAUUUAUUACUAAGGAUUAUUUCUUUUAUAUGCCGUUGAUUAGCCUUUACGAAUUUUUGGUACCCUAUUAACUGUUUUAACAAUUGCAUUUA